CCUACGGGCGGCAGCAGUAGGGAAUUUUCGUCAAUGGGCGCAAGCCUGAACGAGCAAUGCCGCGUGAACGAGGAAGGUCUUCGGAUCGUAAAGUUCUGUUGAAGGGGAAAAAGAGCGGAGAGAGGAAAUGCUUUCUGAUUGAUAUUACCAUUCGAGGAAGUCACGGCUAACUACGUGCCAGCAGCUGCGGUAAUACGUAGGUGGCGAGCGUUAUCCGGAAUGAGUGGGCGUAAAGGGUGCGUAGGCGGCCUGCUAAGUCUGGAGUGAACGGUACCGGCUCAAGCGGUACAGGCUCUGGAAACUGGCGGGCUAGAGGGCAGGAGAGGGCGGUGGAACUCCAUGUGUAGCGGUAAAAUGCGUAGAUAUAUGGAAGAACACCAGUGGCGAAGGCGGCCGCCUGGCCUGUUACUGACGCUGAGGCACGAAAGCGUGGGGAGCAAAUAGGAUUAGAUACCCUAGGAGUC
Molecule: ribosomal RNA, 464 nt
Filed under: uncultured bacterium
Lineage: Bacteria
Description: partial 16S ribosomal RNA
Rfam family: Bacterial small subunit ribosomal RNA
Source: RNAcentral